CAGGGGCGGAUCCCGGGCCGGUGCCAGUGCCGGUGCCGGGGGNNNNNNNNNNNNNNNNNNNNCGGCGUGGUGCGCUCGGGCCGGGGGCAGCUGGGGAGCCGGAAUGCAAGCGGCUGUGCAGGCUGCUGGACUCCAUCCCAGGGGAGGCUGCUGCCCAGCUCAUGGACUGUGCCAUGGCCCUGGAUCCCAGGCACAAACUCCUCCCUGCCUCUGCUCCCUGGCCUGCAAAGGCAAAGCAGAAUUCCCUGGUUUUGGAAAACCCUGGGAGCAAAGGCAUUUCCCAGCCCUGCCCGAGAUGUGUUGCUGGAGAGUCUGGCCACUUCAGUCACAUCCUGGGCUUCUAGGAAAGGAGGGGAGCAGAGGAGCAGCUCUGCUUUCUCAUCUCCUGCUGGAUCCUGCCCUGCCCACCCUGGGCACCAGUCCCUGCACCUCCACACCUGCCCAAAAUGCCUCUGCUCCUCAGGAGAUCACAGCUGGUCUGAAAAGGACCAGGAAAGGCUGAUUUCACCUUCGGGUACCUCAGAAUUCAUAUUAAAAGGACAAGGAAAGGCUUAUUUCAUGUUUGGGUAGUUCAGAAUUUGCUUUAAAAGGACAAGGAAAGGCUGAUUUCAUGUUUAGCUCAGAAUUUGUUUAAAAAAAGACAAGGAAAGGCAGAUUUCCUAUUUAGGUACCUCAGAAUUUGUUUUAAAAGGACAAGAAAAGGCAGAUGUCAUAUUUAGCUCAGAAUUGGCAAGAAAAGGCAGAUUUCAUGUUUAGGUAGUUCAGAAUUUGUUCUGAAAGGACAAGAAAAGGCAGAUUUCAUAUUUUAGUUCAGAAUUUGUUCAUGAAGGACAAGGAAAGGCUGAUUCCAUGUUCAGGUAGUUCAGAAUUUGUUCUUUGUACCUCAGAAUUUGUUUUAAAAGGACAAGGAAAGGCAGAUGUCAUAUUUAGCUCAGAAUUGGCAAGAAAAGGCAGAUUUCAUGUUUAGGUAGUUCAGAACUUGUUCUGAAAGGAUAAGAAAAGGCAGAUUUCAUAUUUAGUUCAGAAUUUGUUCAUGAAGGACAAGGAAAGGCUGAUUCCAUGUUUAGGUAGUUCAGAAUUUGUUCUGAAAGGACAAGAAAAGGCCGAUUUCAUGUUUAGGUAGUUCAGAAUUUGUUCUGAAAGCACAAGAAAAGGCAGAUUUCAUGUUUUAGACUGGUUAAGUUGGGCUGGCCUUGGUCCCAGUCCUCACCUGGGGCUGGGCCAGAGCUUGUGUUGACUCCAGAGGUUCUCCUGACCCCCCUGGAAAAUGCUCCUCUGGAAAAUCCUCCCUGUGCAGGGCCCUGGCAGGAGUGGGAGGACACCAGUUUUUGUUUUGAAGUGGCUUUGCAGCUGUGAAGACCAGGAAAAAAUCCCCUUGAAGGUUGCAUUUAAAUCCCCAAAAAAUCUGUUUAAAAAGGCUUGACCUGGUCCCCCAGCAGGCUUUUAUUGGCACAGAUCUAAGGGCAGGUUAAUUAACCCCUAAAGGUUAAUUUUGGGGGUUUUCAGGCUGCAGAAUCCUCGGGCAGAGGUGUUCUGCACUCCCUGAACCCUCCCCAUGUUGUGUGUGGAGCUGGAUGAGCGCUGAGUUGAGAUAUUCUCAUUAAAUAAAUGAGGAUCACUUAAAUACUGAGGUUCA
Molecule: long non-coding RNA, 1636 nt
Organism: Serinus canaria (Common canary)
Lineage: Eukaryota; Metazoa; Chordata; Aves; Passeriformes; Fringillidae
Source: Ensembl